GACGAAGGAUGCAAGCGUUAUCCGGAUUCAUUGGGUUUAAAGGGUGCGUAGGCGGACUUGUAAGUCAGUGGUGAAAUCUCUUUGCUUAACAAAGAAACUGCCAUUGAUACUGCAGGUCUAGAGUAUAGAUGACGUUGGCGGAAUAUGACAUGUAGUGGUGAAAUACUUAGAUAUGUCAUAGAACACCGAUUGCGAAGGCAGCUAACGAAACUAUAACUGACGCUGAGGCACGAAAAGUGCGGGGAUCAAACAGG
This 254-nucleotide ribosomal RNA is filed under the name uncultured bacterium. RNAcentral describes it as "partial 16S ribosomal RNA". It matches the Rfam family "Bacterial small subunit ribosomal RNA", at positions 524 to 776 of the family's 1533-position model. The record is from RNAcentral.